UGUAUUAUACCACAUAACUUUCUGCUGGAUGUACCGAUUUUGAUAAUUUUUUUUUUGUUGGAAAGGGGAUAUCCCUAUUUGGUACCGUGAUAAGGAAACUAGGAUCUGAUGAUGGAAUCCCAGAGAAAUCGAGGGAAACUCUCGAAAAUCCGCAAUAACUUUUUACUGGGUGUACCGAUUUUGAUCAUUUUUAAUUUAAUCGAAAGCUGAUGUUUAUCAUGUGGUCACAUAUAAAUUUUAUCGAGAUCUGAUAACUACUUUUUGAGUAAUCUUUGAUA
This 278-nucleotide unclassified non-coding RNA is filed under the name Melitaea cinxia (Glanville fritillary). RNAcentral describes it as "misc RNA ENSMCXG00005004386.1". Lineage: Eukaryota; Metazoa; Arthropoda; Insecta; Lepidoptera; Nymphalidae. The record is from RNAcentral.